AUGGAUCCAGCCGUCCAGUCCUUCCUGGAGCGUCUGGAGACCACUCUCAAAGAGCACACUGCCGCGAUCCACGCCUCCAACUCCAAGAUCGACGAUCUCGUGGCUUGGCGCCCCGAUCUCGAGCGGCGCGUCGCCGAUCUGUCCGACGCGGUGACGGCACUCCAGCGUGCCCCGCUGCCACCGCCGCCGCCGGCAACGACAUCCCACCAAGCGCCUUCGUCGAGUCACCCACCGCCUGCGACAAUCGGCACCCACAUCGGGGCCGCGUCUGGCGCGGCAGCAAAUCAGCAAGGGCCCGAAGGCCACGGCGUCUACAACAUCCCACGGGGGCCAUCAACGGUGUCCUUCCUGACACCGCCACCGCCCCCGGCAAACGGUCAGUACGACGCCCCCCCUUCACCCCCUGCUCUGUCCCCGUUUGCGCACGCGAGCCAGCUACUCAGCGGCCUCGGCCAAGCGCACCCCUCCAUCCAGUUCCCACAGUUCACGGGUGACAACCAGAAACUGUGGAAAACACUUUGUGAGCAGUACUUCAGCAUGUUUGCUAUUCUGCCUUCGUUUUGGGUGCCCAUGGCCGCGCUGAAUUUCUCUGGUUCUGCGUCCAUCUGGUUGUAA
RNAcentral lists this ribosomal RNA (615 nucleotides) under Triticum aestivum (bread wheat). Its description in RNAcentral is "partial small subunit ribosomal RNA". The record is from RNAcentral. Lineage: Eukaryota; Viridiplantae; Streptophyta; Magnoliopsida; Poales; Poaceae.